RNAcentral lists this ribosomal RNA (429 nucleotides) under Verrucomicrobiota bacterium. RNAcentral's name for it is "Verrucomicrobia bacterium partial 16S ribosomal RNA". It matches the Rfam family "Bacterial small subunit ribosomal RNA", at positions 355 to 776 of the family's 1533-position model. The record is from RNAcentral. Lineage: Bacteria; Pseudomonadati; Verrucomicrobiota.
UAGGGAAUCUUCCGCAAUGGACGAAAGUCUGACGGAGCAACGCCGCGUGAGUGAAGAAGGAUUUCGGUUCGUAAAACUCUGUUGUUAGGGAAGAAAAAAUGUAUAGUAACUAUAUACAAAAGAGACGGUACCUAACCAGAAAGCCACGGCUAACUACGUGCCAGCAGCCGCGGUAAUACGUAGGGCGCGAGCGUUGUCCGGAAUUAUUGGGCGUAAAGGGCUUGUAGGUGGCGUGUCGCGUCUGCUGUGAAAUUCCAGGGCUUAACUUUGGGAUUGCAGUGGGUACGGGCAUGCUAGAGUGCAGUAGGGGAGAUUGGAAUUCCUGGUGUAGCGGUGAAAUGCGCAGAUAUCAGGAGGAACACCGGUGGCGAAGGCGGGUCUCUGGGCUGUUACUGACGCUGAGGAGCGAAAGCGUGGGGAGCGAACAGG